This 407-nucleotide ribosomal RNA is filed under the name uncultured eukaryote. Its description in RNAcentral is "SSU rRNA". It matches the Rfam family "Eukaryotic small subunit ribosomal RNA", at positions 21 to 435 of the family's 1831-position model. The record is from RNAcentral.
UAGUCAUAUGCUUGUCUCAAAGAUUAAGCCAUGCAUGUCUAAGUAUAAAUGGUAUACAAUGAAACUGCGAAUGGCUCAUUAAAACAGUUAUAGUUUAUUUGGUAAUCAAACUUACAUGGAUAACCGUGGUAAUUCUAGAGCUAAUACAUGCUGUUGUGCCCGACUCACGAAGGGCCGUAUUUAUUAGAUAUCAGCCAAUAAGCAUCUGCUAUUGUGGUGACUCAUAGUAACUUAAUCGGAUCGCAUGGGCUUGUCCCGCGACAAACCAUUCAAGUUUCUGCCCCAUCAUGCUUUCGAUGGUAGUGUAUUGGACUACCAUGGCUUUCACGGGUAACGGAGGAUUAGGGUUCGAUUCCGGAGAGGGAGCCUGAGAAACGGCUACCACUUCCACGGAAGGCAGCAGGCGC